AUGCUCUUAGGUUAUGUCAUACAUACGCAUUCAUAUAAACAUGAGGCUUGUUUCGCCUCAGGCCUUUGCCCUUUCCUGGGCCCUUGUCGAUGGUGGCUCAGCUCGCACACCUGUCCACGCCACUCCCUUCCUGACCUUAAGUCACCACUCGUCGCCACCUCUUCCGAGAGGCCUCCCAGACUACUCAGUGUAAACACCACCCAUCUCCCGUCCCUGGCCUUGCCACUGUCUAGCAUAAUGUUCUAUUUGUUUUCUGCUAUCCCUUUAUGUAAUGCUGGUGGGUUGUUUUUGUUUUUGUUUUUUUUGGUAAGUUUUCAUGUAAUUGAGAAAAAAUUUACAUACAGUAAAAUUCACCCCUUUUACUGUAGUUCUGCAAACUGUGACAAAUGCAUACAUACAUAUACUACCAGUGCUAUAAUCAAGAUCUAGAAAGUUCCAUCGCCCCCAAGUGUUGCCAUAUCUCUUUACAGCCAAACCUUCCCCAAGGCCAGCUCAGAGCUGUUCUCUGUAUCCGGAGUGUUGCUUUUUCCAGAAUGUCAUAGAAAUGGAAUCAUAUAUUAUGUAGCCUUUGCAGUCUGAUUGCUUUCACUUUCUGUAGCUCAAUUUAUUUGAGUCUCAUCUGUAUUACUGUACGUAUCAGGAGGUCUUUCCUUGUCCUUACUGAAAAUCACGGAUCAUAGUUUAUUCAUUCUCCACUUGCAAGGCAUUCUCGUUUCCAGUUUUGGUGAUUACAAAUAAAAUUGCCAUAAACAUUCAGAUAGAGUUUUCAUCUGUCUCGUAUAAAUACCUUGCAGUGAGAUGGCUGGGUCACGUGGUAAGCGGAUUUUUUUUAACCAUCUAAGGAAGUGUCAAACUAUUCUCUAAAUUGUCUGUACCAUUUUGUAUUCCUACCAACCAUGAAGGAGAAUUCUCAGUCCAGAUUUUCACCAGCACUUGGUAUUGUCAGAAUUUUUAUUUUAGCCAUUCGAAUAGGUGUAUGUAUCUAAUGGAACUAUGCCACGAUGGUUCUAGUUGUCAGUUCUCUGUUGACUAAUGAUGCUGAACAUCUUCUCAUGUGCUUCUUGGCGAUUAUAUCUUUUUUUUGAUGGAGGGUCCGCUCACAUCUUUGGCCCUUACCAAAAACGUUUUCCCAUUACUAGGCUUGAGAGUAUUUAGCAUACAUUCUUUUUAUAUUCGGCAUAUGAUUUUUUCCCCCAGACAAGUGAUUACCAAAUAUUUUCACCUAGUUUAUAACGCAUCUUUUCAUCGUCUUUCAAAGAUAGGUUUUUCAUUUUGAUAAAGGACAAUUUAUCAUUUUUCCCUUUUUAGGAACUGUGUCAUAUGUAAGACACAGCUGUCUAACCCAAGAUCACGAAGGUUUCCUUCUAUGUUUUAUUCUCCAAGUUUCAUAUUUUUUAGAUUUUAUGGUUCAGUCCAUGAUCUCUUUUGAGGUAAUUUUUUUUAGACGGUGUGAGAUAUGGGUUGAAGGCCACUAAUUUUAUUGCAUAUUGAUAUCCAAUCAUUCCUGUGCCACUUCUGGAAGACUGUCACCUCUCCGUGUAAUUGCUUUUGCAACUACGUCAAAAAUCACAUUGGUUGUAUAUGUGCGAGU
This 1591-nucleotide long non-coding RNA is filed under the name Lynx canadensis (Canada lynx). RNAcentral describes it as "lncRNA (ENSLCNG00005014003.1)". Lineage: Eukaryota; Metazoa; Chordata; Mammalia; Carnivora; Felidae. The record is from RNAcentral.